RNAcentral lists this ribosomal RNA (482 nucleotides) under uncultured bacterium. Its description in RNAcentral is "partial 16S ribosomal RNA". It matches the Rfam family "Bacterial small subunit ribosomal RNA", at positions 28 to 506 of the family's 1533-position model. The record is from RNAcentral.
GAUGAACGCUGGCGGCGUGCCUAACACAUGCAAGUCGAACGGAGUCGUUUUGGAAAUCUCUUCGGAGAUGGAAUUCUCGACUUAGUGGCGGACGGGUGAGUAACGCGUGAGCAAUCUGCCUUUAAGAGGGGGAUAACAGUCGGAAACGGCUGCUAAUACCGCAUAAAGCAUUAAAUUCGCAUGUUUUUGAUGCCAAAGGAGCAAUCCGCUUUUAGAUGAGCUCGCGUCUGAUUAGCUAGUUGGCGGGGUAACGGCCCACCAAGGCGACGAUCAGUAGCCGGACUGAGGGGUUGAAGGGCCACAUUGGGACUGGGACCCGGCCCAGACCCCUACGGGGGGCAGCAGGGGGGAAUAUUGCGCAAGGGGGGAAACCCUGACGCAGCAACGCCGGGGGAUUAAAGAAGGCCUUCGGGUUGUAAAGAUCUUUAAUCAGGGACGAAACAAAUGACGGUCCCUGAAGAAUAAGCCCCGGCUAACUACGU